GACUGGAGAUCCCUCCAGGAGGAGAGUGGUCUGAGGGGAACCACUGCUGGGCGCCUGGUGCCGGGCAGCAGUCGGUACCCCACUACCUGAGAGCGCUGUCCCAGAGUGCAGGGUGACUUCUUAUUCUGGGGGAGGGGUGCUGAGUGAUGGUCAAGCUGAAGAGUAGCUGGGUGAGCAGUUCACGCCCCCCAACGUGAUCAGAAUGUGGGUGGACUCAGCGAUUGAGUGACAGUGAAUGACAGCCACGCGAGUCACAGCAGGGCAGUUCGGCCACCCCAAACAGACGGGGUCAUGAAGGGGGAGGGGGCCGCACUUGACACAAAAGAGCCAGGAGCAGAGUAGAGAUGAAGGGAGUGGAGCUGGGUGCAUCUAGCUCCCCAGAUACUCGCUGCUCAUCCCCUAAUCUUAAGUGAUUCGCGGUCCUACAGCCGGCUGAGGGUAUAUUUCCCUUCCUUCAUGAUCUCCAACAGUGUUAAAGCAGAAGAAACUGAGGUAUCCAGAAAGAGAAAAGUAACUGGGAUUGAGAAAAAGAAAGAGAUCAGAAAACAGAGGUAAAGGGAGAUUAAACAUCUUAUCCAAGGUAAGAGCUAUUGCAAGGUAAAGCAGGCAUUUAUACCCAAACGUAUGGACCACGGUGGACUUGAAAAAAAGGAGAGAACUGGAUAAUGUGGUGACUCAGGAAUUGGGAUGCCACCAUUAAAAACACAGUAAUUGAGAAACAAGUUGGCUUUAAAAUGGCAUGAUGCAUUUGUUUCUACAUGUGUUUAGCUUAAUGUGAUAAUAUAGGAUCUUUUUAGAAAUAUCAUUAUUUCUGAGCUAUGGAAGAGUUCUCUGCACUUUCAGGAAUUAAUGAAGAACCCAAAUCCUGCAGUGUCUUUUCAUUAAAGGAUUUUAUCUAGUAUGCUCAUACUUCUCUUGCUACCUUUUUAGUUAAAUCUUCUUUUCCUUGCCCUUCAUUGAGGAAAGAGAUACCAAUUAAGAAAAGAUUUAAGCUUAAAAAUAAUUUUUUUUUUGAGACAAGCUCUCACUAUGUAGUUCAGGCUGGCCUUGAACCCACUAUGGAGCCCAGGCUAGCCUCAAACUCAUGGCAAUCCUCCUGCUUCAGCCUCCUGAGUGCUGGGAAUACAGGCAUGCACCACCACACCUAGCUAACAUUGUUUUUGCUCUCUGCCAGGUUUUUUUUCUUUCCUUUUUAAAAUAUCUGCACUGAUUGACCAUUAUGUUGAAAUUGAAUAGUUCUAUAAAAAAGGCAAACCAAAUAUUUUCCCUUUGACAUUUUCUUUUAAUGAUUUGUUUUUGUUUUUUUGAGACAGGGUCUCGCUAAGUAGCUCAGGCUGACUUUGAACUCACUAUGUAGCCUAGACUGACCUCAAAUUUGUUGCAGUCCUCCUGCCUCAGUCUCUCAAGUGCUGAGAUUACAAGCAUGUGCCACCAUAACCAGUCACAAUUCCUUAAUACAGAUUAAGCAUCCCUAAUCUGAAAUAAUCAGAUUAUCUGAAAUAAUCAGAUUAUCUGAAAUCUGAAAUACUUUAAAAUAAAAAACAUUUUGAACGUCGACAUGAUGCUCCCACUAGAAAAUUCCACACCUGACUUUAUGUGACAAGUCACAAUCAAAAUUGAGGCACACUAAAAAUCUAUAUAAUCACCUUCAGGCUAUGAAUAUAAGGUAUAUAUGAAAUAUGAAUGAAUUUUGUGUGUAGACUUGAAUUGCAUCCCUAAGAUCUCUCAUUAUGUGUAUGCAAAUAUCCAAAAAUUUGAAAAAAUACAAAAAUCUCACACACUUGUUCCAAGCAUUUGGGAUAAUGGAUAACCUCAAAUUUUCUGUUGGCUGGCCAGCUAAAAGUACAGUACCUUGUUUCCCAUCUAUUGUUGAGCCACAGUUGUCUCAGCAGAAUUAUCCUGAUACCUUUCCCAGCUGAUUACUAUCCUUCAGGUUAUAGAUGUGUCAUAGUAAGUGCUGACCCCAGCUGGCUUCCUCUUGCCCAUCCACUUUCUCUUGGCCUUUUUAUAUCUCUGUAUGUGAAAGUCAUGUUAAUUUCAGACUAACUUAGACAUAAUUUUUAAAUUUAAAGCAAUUAAUUUUUUAAAGAUUCUAUAUUCCAAACUCUGUAACUCCUAAAAUAUAUUCCAGAGCCAAUAAUGAUGUUAUCCACUCUGUCCAUUAGGGGAAGACUUGGAGCUUUAGACUCAGAGGUAGUCAGGCUGUGCCACUUAAUAACUUUGGCCCCUGGCAAGCUGCUUACCCUUCAAGUAUCAGCUCCCUCAUCUAUAAACCAUCACAGGGUUGUAGUGAGGAUUAAAUGAGUUAAGUUACAUAAAGUACUGGCUAUAAUAAGGCACUCAAUAAUUGGUAGCUGUUGUUCUAAACAAAUUUACUGUUAGCCAUUUCUCACUUCAGAAAGAUUCACAAGAUGAUCACAAGGUGAGAGAAUUCAUGACCUGGGUUAUGACUAGCACCUUAAAAUGAAGGAGCAAAGGGCUGACUUUAUUCUUGAUUCUAAUUGUUGGCCCCAUUUCCUUGCUUUCUCUCAUUUUGUAUAACUAAGCUCAGCUCUGCCAUAACAUGAAACAAAUCUCAUUUUCCUGGAUUCAGAUAAUUCUUAUGGCAGCAUAAAUGCUACUCAUUUGGAAACCAAAUGUUAGUCACAGAUGUGGUCUAAUUUUCUAACCAAGACAGAUAUUACCUGGAUGCUGAAUAUCAGUAACAACAAAUAUCAGGAAUUUCCAAGGGAGGCAUUUGUUACUAGUGAUUCACACAAGGAAUAGGAAAGAAAACUAGAAGUUUUGAGUGUUUUUUCCAAGGCAUUUUCACAUAACUUAACUCAUUUAAUCUUCUCAAUACCAUAAGAAGCUUCUGUUAGGGUGACCAUGUCCUAGGUGUCUCUAUUGCCCUGUCACUUUCUGUUAUCCCUAUUUUAUGGUUGAAAAAGAGAAUCUAAAGCAAGGAAGACAUUGAGUAUAUUGUUACAAAGCCAGAAUGCCUCUCUUUCUUUAUUUUUUUUAUUAUUACUUUUUUGAGUCAGGGUCUCACUGUGUAGUUCAAGCUGCCCUUGAACUCACUAUAUAGCCCAGGCUGGCCUCAAACUCAUGGUGAUCCUCCUGCCUCAGCCUCCCAACUGCUGGGAUUAUAGUCAUGUGCCACCACACCCGACCCAGAAUUUUUCUCUUUUGCAGUUAUAUCUCACAUCUUGUCCAACUACAGCCUGCCUUCUCUAACAAAGCCACCAUUGACCUGUUUUGUGUUAAAUCCAUAGAACUCAAGUCAUCAUCAUUAUACUUGACUUCUGUGCAAUAUUCCACACUGUUUACCAUCCCCUCCUCUCAAGUACUCUUCCUUUGGCUUCCACGGCACCAUUUUCCUGGUUCUCGCUCACCUCUCUAGCUCUCCUUUCAGUCUCCUUUUCUUCCUCCCCACUUAGAUAUUGUUCCACUCAGGCCUUCUGCUUAGAUCACACUUCACUCUCAAGUUGAUCUCACCCUUGACUUACUAUCUGCCAAUAAUUCUGACACUUAUAACUCUGACACAGAGCUAUCCUGUCCCAUUUACCAAAUAAGAUCAUGCAUACUUGUAUGCCCCCAAAUUACCUCAUAUAGGUGAUUUCAUCUUUCCCUUUCAGCAUUUCCCUGUUCCAUCAUUGGGCUCAUCAUCCUCCUAGCUGGCCAGGCCAGACACUUGAGUGUCACUUUUGCCUCUUCCCUCUUCCUCAGACCUGUAUUAGUCAUUUUCCCAUAUCUAGGACAAAAUACCUGACAGCCACAAUUUAAAGGAAGAGAGGUUUAUUUUGGCUCAUAGUCUCAGUCCAUACUUGGCUGGCUCCAAGACAGAAAUGACAUGGCCGAAAAGUGUGGCAGCGGACAGCUGCUCAUUGCAUGGUAGCCAAAUAGCAGAGAGCAGGAAGGAGCUGGGACAAGAAUACUCCCUUCCAGGUCAUACCCUCAGGGACCCACCUCCAACUUGAACCUCUCUCAACAGCGCAUUUAGAUACUGAACCCAUCAAUAGAUUAAUCUACCGAUGAGUAUAGAUAGCCCCUGCAAAAACCCAGUCACCUUCUAAAUAUAUGAGACUUUUGGUAGACAUUUUAGCCUCUUUUUGUUACCAGGGAUCAAACUCCAGAACUUGCGCUUUCGAGGCAGAGAGCAACACCACUGAGCUAAAUCCCAGGCUCCUGGCAGACAUUUCAGAUCUAAACCAUAACUUUGCUCUCUACCCAAUUACCAAGUAACUUCAGCUGAUGAACUGAUCUCCACUGCCACUUACCUAGUUCUGGCUGUCUUCAUCUCUCCCAGACUGCUGCAGUGGCAUCAGUCAGGCUGAUGUUGUCUCUACUCCCCAUAGCCCUUUCAUUCCAUUCCCUCUUUUUAAAUAUGCAAAUCUGACUAUGGCCUUCUCCCCAUAAAACUCUUAACCCUGAGCUUUUAAAAAUUUUUCUUUUUCUUUUCUACUUUCUUCUCUGUCUCUCUGUCUCUGUCUGUCUCUCUCUCUCUCUCUCUCUCUCUCUCUCUCUCUCUCAGUUGUGCAAGCACUUGAAUUAAAUACUUUAAAAGGGUGAAAUUUUUGUAUAUAAAUUAUACAGUAAGUCCUCGACUUAUGAACAAGUUCAUUUCAGGAGAAUGUUCAUAAAUCAAAUUUGUUAAUAAAUCUGACAAAGUGAGUCUUAGAUAGUGUAACUUUGAUAUAAAUAUAUAAUGUAUAUUGCUUUGCGCUUCCUAGCAGUUCUCUCCACAUCACUACUGCUUUUCCUCUUGGUUCCAGACAUCCUAGGCUCUGAUUGAGCACUGUACACUAUCAAAUUGUACACUGUAUACUAUUAAAUUGUACAGUAAACACACAGCAGCACAACUGUGACAAUGUCCGGCAGACACUUAAGCUACUUCUUCAAUUUGUUUGCAUCUACACGUGUUCAUAAUGCCAGGUCUUUUUGUAUCUAUGAAAGUUCGCAACUCAAAUGUUUGUGAAUCAGGGACUUACUGUAUAUCAUUUUUUUUAAAGCCAGAAACUUACCUGAUUUACAAAGCCUCCCAGGACCUGGCCUGGGCUCCACAUUUCCCACUGUUCCCUCUCUCCUCUCACAUCCCCCUCCUCUCAGCAACAAGCUGCACUUCCUUCUGCUUUUAAGCUCUCCACACUCUCACCUCUAAUAUUUGCUUGUGCUACUUAUUUUCUGCAGGAAGCAUUCUGUCCUCCACCUAUCCCCUUACCCUCUCCCUCCUCUUCAAGGAGCUAACUCCUUCAGGCUCAGUCUUCUCUGGUCUCCCCACAGGGGAUUAGCUGUUGCUGCUGUGUUGAGGCAUUUCAUUAUCUAUUUUGUAGCAUUUAUUACAUUUGCCCAUUCUAUGGAUAUUUAUUGAAUAUCCACACUGGGCACUAGGCUAAGUGCUGGUUGUUUAGUGGCAAGUAAGAGUUAUGAUCCCCAUUCUCAUGGAGUUUACAGUCUAAGGGAGGAAGAUGGACAUUAAGAAUUACACUAAAUAUUUUAAUUAUAGUUAAGAUGUUUCAGAGCAUCCUGAGAUGGUGUGAAAAGAGAUUUGAUAUAAUUUGAAGGAUCAGAGCAAACCUCACUGAGAAAGUGACAUGUGAUUGAGCAACUUUAACAGGAGUUGGGGAAAUGAUGAGUGGAGGGUGGAGUGUUCCAUCAGAGAAACAGCAUGUGAGAAGGCUCUAACUGGAAGGAGUUUGGAGGAGUUUCAGAAACUGAAAAGCCAAUGUGGGAGACAAAGAGGAGCCUGGAGAGCCAAAUCAUGCAGGUCCUUAGGCUAGAAGUAGAGCAGCUAAAAAGUUGAUGAGCACAAGGACAAAGUGGGAAAACAGGAGACACCUGAAACUUGGAAGAUCUAGUGGAGUCACUUUUACUAAUUGAGUAUCUCUUAUUAUCUGAAUGACAUGAACCCUUUGUAGUUAAGCUUCAACAGCCAGGCUUCCAUUGCAUGCAGCCAGAUACCAUGGUAUACUAUAGAGCAAUGAUGGUGAACCUAUGACAUGUGUGCCAAAGCCGGCUUUUGUUGUCAUUGAACGCUCUAAAAGGUUCGCCAUCUGGAGUAAUAUGAAGUAAUAUCUGUGUCUUCAGGCUGAUCAUUCAUGAUAAGCCUAUACAUUUCAUCUUCCUUACUGUUCUAUAGAAGAAUCAGAAUUUAUUACCCCACAUAUCACUCACUUUCUAGAUCUCUUCAAUUCUCUUCAAAUGGUGACAGUGGUCAAAUAGCAAGGGUCACUACAUUAUCUAAAUCUCUUUUGACUCUUGAGUUUAAUAGGUUCCAAAGUGGGGGUUAUGUGUACCAUAUUCCUGCAACAAGUAUUUAUUUAUUGCAAUUGUAUGCUAGGUACUACAUGGCUAUUGAGACCCAGAGAUUAUCUCAUCAGAUGACUGAAGCUGGAUGCCCAUGUCCCCACUAAACAGAAGGUCUCAAAGGGUAGAAUCUGAGCUCCUUCCAAUGAGAGAGACUUAAUUCCAGCAAUAUACUAUCUUGUUCCUCAUCUUACUCUUUACCCUAUCCCAACUUUUUUUUGUUUGUUUGUUUUUUGGUACUGGGGAUCGAACUCGGGUCCUUGCACUUGUGCAGCAGGCGGCAAAACCAUUGAGCUAAAUCCCCGGCCCUACCCUAUCCCAACUUUAAUAGUCUCAUUUCAUGUAUUCAUGUAUCAGGGUUUUUUUGUUUUAGUGUUUUUCAUGUGUCUAGAAUACCCAGUACUUGUGCUCCAUAUGUUGGUAUUUUGAAUGCCUAAUCUUUGAAUUUCAAGGUAGAGGUCAUUCAGGUUUCAAAUUUUUCAUGCUUUCUUACAACUAAACCUUCGGCUCUUGCUGAUCCACCACAGAAUGACUGUUUUCCCAGUAUCAGUACAUCUAUGUGCUUUCUCAACCUCAGCUGUAGGAAUGGAUAUAUUAACCUGAUCUUGAUCUCAUGAUUGGGUGUUAUAGUCCCAAGCGUAAAUGAUGGAGCCCCUCACUCAGCUCCAAGGCACCAAAAUAAAACUUGGGAUAACAGUGAAACACUUCACACUAGUCAUUAACAAAGCCCCAAAGGUUAAAGCUUUAGGAAUUUGAGCCAUGGGAACACUAUAGGUGUGACACAGAUGAGACAUGGAGACAGGUGUUAGGAAUUUGGGGACCACGUUAUAAUUUAACUUUUUUUUUUUUAAAGGAGGAAAGGUUUGGGCCGGGGAUUUAGCUCAGUGGUUCCGGCGCCUGCCUCACAAGCAAAAGGUCCCGAGUUCAAUAUCCGGUACCAAAAAGAAGGAAAGAAAAAAAAAAAAAAGGAGGAAAGGUUUAUUUAGCACUCAGUUUGUAGAGACAUUUCAGUCCAUAAUCAGCUGGCUUUGAGACAGGGUGGCUUUGCAUAGGAGAACAGUUCAUGGCACCCACAAGGUAGCAAAAGCAACAAGGGCCCUUAACAGUAUCUUUCUGCACUUUUUAUCCUAUCCAUACUACUUAGGGUGGGUAGUAUUCACAUCCUUAAUCCCUUGAGCCUAGCAUUGCACCAUGAAUCAAUUCCAGCAUCACACACUCUAGAAAAAAGCCACCUCUAUAAAGCCCCACCCAUGACUGCAUGAGGCCUUGGGGAGACAUCCAAACAUAAAUCAUGAUAUUUCAUCCCUGGCCCAGCAAGAGUUGUGUAUAUCCCUUUAAGCAUUUAGCUCAUCUCCAAGAGUUGCCAAAGUUCUAACAGUUUCAGCAUUGCUGAAAAGUCCAAGUCCAAAGUCUCUUCUGAGAUUUAAGGCAGAUUCUUAGCUGCAAGCCCUUGUGCAAAUGAAAAGAAAGUUGUAAACACUCCCAACAUUCAAUGGCACAA
This is a long non-coding RNA of Heterocephalus glaber (naked mole-rat), 7786 nucleotides long. RefSeq lists it as uncharacterized. The record is from RefSeq and is a predicted model, not a curated record. NCBI's taxonomy places the organism in Eukaryota, Metazoa, Chordata, Mammalia, Rodentia, Bathyergidae.